RNAcentral lists this ribosomal RNA (428 nucleotides) under uncultured bacterium. RNAcentral's name for it is "partial 16S ribosomal RNA". It matches the Rfam family "Bacterial small subunit ribosomal RNA", at positions 354 to 796 of the family's 1533-position model. The record is from RNAcentral.
GUGGGGAAUAUUGGGCAAUGGGCGCAAGCCUGACCCAGCAACGCCGCGUGAAGGAAGAAGGCUUUCGGGUUGUAAACUUCUUUGACAGGGGACGAAACAAAUGACGGUACCCUGAAAACAAGCCACGGCUAACUACGUGCCAGCAGCCGCGGUAAUACGUAGGUGGCAAGCGUUAUCCGGAUUUACUGGGUGUAAAGGGCGUGUAGGCGGGAUUACAAGUCAGAUGUGAAAACUAUGGUGUCAAACCAUAGCCUGCAUUUGAAACUGUAGUUCUUGAGUGAUGGAGAGGCAGACGGAAUUCCUCGUGUAGCGGUGAAAUGCGUAGAUAUGAGGAGGAACACCAGUGGCGAAGGCGGUCUGCUGGACAUUAACUGACGCUGAGGCGCGAAAGCGUGGGGAGCAAACAGGAUUAGAUACCCCAGUAGUCC